CACCGCGGUUAUACGAGAGGCUCAAGUUGACAGACAACGGCGUAAAGAGUGGUUAAGGAAAACACUUGACUAAAGCGGAACACCCUCACAGCUGUUAUACGCUUCCGAGGGCAUGAACCCCAACUACGAAGGUGGCUUUACAUAACCUGAACCCACGAAAGCUAAGAAA
RNAcentral lists this ribosomal RNA (169 nucleotides) under Platycaranx talamparoides (imposter trevally). RNAcentral describes it as "partial small subunit ribosomal RNA". Lineage: Eukaryota; Metazoa; Chordata; Actinopteri; Carangiformes; Carangidae. The record is from RNAcentral.